CCAUCUCCUCGUCGGCCAAGAAGUGGUACCGGAUCGACGCCAUCCCCGCAGCACAUCACCUAUCGCCCUCUGCUACUCGGCCACCCGAGAUCGCCUCCGCCAGCGGUUCCCCCGCCUGGAGUCGCUCAAGCUCAAGGGCAAGCCUAGGGCUUCCAUGUUCAACAACAUCAUUCCCGAGGACUGGGGAGGCUACGCCGCCCCGUGGGCCACCGAGAUCGCGGACUCCUUCUUGUGCCUGAAGGCGAUCCAUUUCCGGAGGAUGGUUGUCAAGGAUGACGACAUCGGUGUUCUGGUUCGAGGCCGAGGGCACAUGCUUCAUUCCCUGAAGCUCGACAAGUGCACGGGUUUCUCCACCGACGGGCUCAUCCUCGUUGCUCGUUCCUGCAGAUGUCUUAGAACCUUAUUCUUGGAGGAAAGCGUCAUAACUGAGGAGGAAGGCCAAUGGCUCCAUGAGCUAGCCAUUAAUAAUUCCGUUCUUGAAACUUUAAACUUUUACAUGACAGAUCUGAGUGUCUCAUGGCAGGACCUCGAGUUAAUUGCCAGGAACUGCAGAUUGUUAAAUUCCUUGAAAAUUUCCGAAUGUGAUAUCUCCCAUCUGGUCGGGUUCUUCCGUGCUGCAACAGCACUUGAGGAGUUUGGUGGGGGCUCUUUUGAUGACCAACUAGGAGAAAUCAACAAAUAUGAGAGGGUUAGAUUUCCUCCAAAUCUUUGCCGCUUAAGUCUCAGCUAUAUGGGAACAGAUGAGAUGCAAAUCAUAUUUCCAUUUGCUGCCUCACUGAAGAAACUUGACCUGCAAUAUACAUUUCUCACUACCGAGGAUCACUGUGAGCUGAUUCAACGAUGUCCCAAUUUAGAGAUUUUGGAGGUGAGGAAUGUGAUUGGAGACCGAGGAUUAGAAGUUGUUGCUCAGACGUGUAGGAGACUUAAAAGGCUGAGAAUUGAGCGGGGGGAAGACGAACAAGGCCUGGAGGACGAACAGGGAACAGUUUCACAUAGAGGGCUCUCUGCAAUUGCACAAGGCUGCCUGGACCUAGAGUACCUGGCUGUAUAUGUUUCUGAUAUCACGAAUUCUGCUUUGGAAGCUAUUGGCACUCACAGCAAAAACAUGUGCGACUUUAGGCUCGUAUUACUUGAUAGAGAAGAAAGGAUAACAGAACUGCCUCUUGACAGCGGGGUUCGUGCACUUUUACAAGGUUGUGCAAAGCUAAGGAGGUUUGCUUUUUAUCUUAGGCCUGGUGGCCUCACAGACGUGGGUCUUGGUUAUGUUGGUCAAUACAGCAGCAAUGUUAGAUGGAUGUUGUUAAGUAAUGUGGGGGAGUCUGAUUUUGGGCUUCUACAGUUCUCAAGAGGCUGUCCAAAACUGCAGAAGCUGGAGCUUAGAGGCUGCUGCUUCAGUGAGCGUGCUUUGGCGCUUGCUGCUCUGCAGUUAGGUUCUUUGAGAUAUUUAUGGGUUCAGGGUUACAAUGCCUCCCCAGAUGGUAAUGAUCUUCUGGCGAUGGUCCGUCCCUUCUGGAACAUAGAGUUCAUUCCCCCAAGACGAGUGAAUAGUUAUAUCGAGGAUGGCAGUGAGCAAGUUGAAGAUGGCAUUGAACAUCCAGCUCAGAUACUCGCAUACUAUUCUCUCGCAGGAAGGAGGAUGGACUGUCCAGAUACUGUGAUUCCUCUAAAUCCAGCAUGAGUGUAUAUACUGAAACUCUUCUGCCAUUUUCCCUCUAUCGCCUUUUUAUCCCCCUGUUUUCCGUGUGUAAUCGCUUUACUUUGUGUAUAUUAGCUUGCUCUCGUCAUUUUAACAACUUGCUGUGCUGCUGUCAUGUAAUAAGGUGGCGUCGGAGUUCUUUUUGCCAUUUUCAAAUCUGUUGUGUGCGCCAGUUAUUAUGGAUGGCUUUGGGCGAGAAUGGAACAUACGCUUUGUGAUAUCCAAAAACACGGUGUCCUUGGUUGAUAGUUCGUGAGCCUGGAGCUUCCGAUGCUAUGGAGGUUUCUGUGUUCUCCAAAAGUGUAGGCAGUUGGGACAUUUCAUCCACACCACGAAGGGAGAAUAAAUUGGAUUCUUAAUGUGUAUUUGAUUCUUCUCGUAGUCAGUUGCAACUGAUAUUGUAAUGCUAAUACAGCCAUAACGACGCUACUUUUGGUUGGGCGGCCGUAGUUAGUGUGGUGCUUCUUAUGUUGCGCUCGGCGUGUUUGUUCGCAAAUUUUUUUGGUGAAUAUGCAUCAUUCGGAUUGCACGUA
Molecule: RNA transcript, 2229 nt
Organism: Asparagus officinalis (garden asparagus)
Lineage: Eukaryota; Viridiplantae; Streptophyta; Magnoliopsida; Asparagales; Asparagaceae
Gene name: coronatine-insensitive protein homolog 1a-like
Exons: 5
Source: RefSeq, a predicted model, not a curated record